This is an RNA transcript of Solenopsis invicta (red fire ant), 1345 nucleotides long. It is a transcript of the gene named probable cytochrome P450 6a14, with no coding region annotated. The transcript has 4 exons. The record is from RefSeq and is a predicted model, not a curated record. Lineage: Eukaryota; Metazoa; Arthropoda; Insecta; Hymenoptera; Formicidae.
UAUUCUUCGAUUAUGUCUAUCUGAAAUAUAAGGAACAUCAUGCUUUUGGAAUGUACACAUUUUUUAAACCAAAUUUGAUAAUAGCCGAUCUCGAUCUUAUACGAACGGUGAUGACAAAGGAAUUCAAAUCUUUUCAUGAUCGUGGGAUGUUCUGUAACGAAAAGAUUGAUCCAUUAACCGGCAAUUUAUUUCUUAUGCCUGGAAAAAGAUGGCCAAAUAUGCGCGCUAAGUUGACACCCACAUUUACUUCAGGUAAAAUGAAGCAAAUGUUUGCUAUAUUGAAAGAGUGUGGUGAUGAACUCGCAAAGCAUCUGGAGAAUAAUGCUCAAACAAGAGAUACCAUCGAAAUUAAAGAUAUAUUAGCAAGGUAUGAGAUUUGGAUAUUUACAAACAAAAAUUGGGCUCGUGAGUCUUCUGUUGAAAUAUAAGUUUAAACUUCAUUCUUGGACCCCGGUACCGCUUACUUACAGUGAAAGAUCUCCGUCUCUCGAACCGAAAACUGGUGUGCAUCUUAUCAUCGAGAAACGAUAAAAUUAUUUUCUUCUUGAUUAAAAAUAUCAUGUUGAGCUAAUUCGUAAAAACGAAUGUUGCCGCGGAUGAGUUUCGAAACCAGCUACGAAGAAGGCAAAACCUUGCGCAGUAGCUUCUACCAUGAAGCUUUAAGAUUAUAUCCAUCUCUCCCAAUUUUCAAUCGAAUCUGCACUGAGGAAAUAGACUUGCCGAUUGUAAACAUUCGCGUGCCAAAAGGAACGUUAAUAACAAUACCAUUGCUUGGGCUACAUCGAGAUCCGUCAAUAUAUUCGGACCCAAAUAAAUUUGAUCCUGAACGCUUCAACGACGACGAAAUAAAUAAAAAGGCAUCCUUACGCUUAUAUGCCAUUCGGGGAAGGUCCCCGAAAUUGCAUUGGUAUGAGAUUUGGCUAUUUACAAACAAAUAUUGGGCUUGUGAGUCUUCUGUUAAAAUAUAAGUUUAAACUUCAUUCUUGGACUCCGGUACCGCUUACUUACAGUGAAAGAUCUCCGUCUCUCGAACCGAAAACUGGUGCGCAUCUUAUCAUCGAGAAACGAUAAAAUUAUUUUCUUCUUGAUUAAAAAUUAUCUCUUCUCAUUUAUAUAAUACGAAGAAUGUAAACAUGCACAUGUCAAAAGUAAAGAUCGGACAAUAAAUUGAAUUUAUUUAAUAUAUUCUACUAUUUUGCGUUACUAACUUUUCUUAUUACUAUUUUUUACUAAUACGGUUCAUUUCUUGUUAAUACUGCAUAAUGUAUUAUAACUAAAAUUAUUAAUAAUUAUAUAUAUUAAACAAAACAUGUAUUCUUCUUCCAUUAAAGAAUGCGUUCUUUCA